AGCGUUUGAUCCUGGCUCAGGACUAACGCUGACGGUGUGCCUAAUACAUGCAAGUCGAACGGGCAGUGUAUUGGUGGCAACACUUUUAUACUGCUAGUGGCGAACGGGUGAGUAACGCGUGGGUAAUCUGCCUUAAAGACUGGGAUAACUCCUCGAAAGAGGUGCUAAUACCGGAUGGUCUAUAUUUAUCCCAUGAUUUAUAUAGUAAAGGUAGCCGCAAGGCCUCUGCUUUAAGAUGAGCUCGCGUCCUAUUAGCUUGUUGGUGGGGUAAUGGCCUACCAAGGCAAUGAUGGGUAGCCGGUCUGAGAGGAUGGUCGGCCACACUGGGACUGAGAUACGGCCCAGACUCCUACGGGAGGCAGCAGUAGGGAAUAUUGCGCAAUGGGCGAAAGCCUGACGCAGCGACACCGUGCGAAGGAUGAAGGUCUUCGGAUCGUAAACUUCUGUCAAUUGGGGACGAAGGUACUGGGGUUAAUAGCCUUCAGUACUGACGGUACCUAAAAAGGAAGUCUCGGCUAACUCCGUGCCAGCAGCCGCGGUAAGACGGGGGAGGCAAGCGUUGUCCGGAAUUAUUGGGCGUAAAGAGCUCGUAGGUGGUAUAUUAAGUCAUUUGUGAAAACUUCAGGCUUAACCUAAAGAAUGCAAGUGAUACUGGUAUACUUGAGCACAGUAGAGGAAAAUGGAAUUCCUGGUGUAGCGGUGAAAUGCGCAGAUAUCAGGAAGGACACCAGUGGCGAAGGCGGUUUUCUGGGCUGUUGCUGACACUGAGGAGCGAAAGCUAGGGGAGCGAACAGGAUUAGAUACCCUGGUAGUCUUAGCUGUAAACGAUGGACACUAGGUGUGGGGAGUUAUCGACGCUCUCCGUGCCGAAGCAAACGCAUUAAGUGUCCCGCCUGGGGAGUACGGUCGCAAGACUAAAACUCAAAGGAAUUGACGGGGGCCCGCACAAGCGGCGGAGCAUGUGGCUUAAUUCGACACAACGCGAAGAACCUUACCAAGGUUUGACACCAUAUUGAAGUUAGUAGAAAUAUUAACGCCCGCAAGGGCAGUAUGACAGGUGGUGCAUGGUUGUCGUCAGCUCGUGUCGUGAGAUGUUGGGUUAAGUCCCGCAACGAGCGCAACCCUCGUCCCAUGUUGCCAUCAGGUUAAGCUGGGCACUCUUGGGAUACUGCCAGUGUAAAACUGGAGGAAGGUGGGGAUGACGUCAAAUCAUCAUGCCCUUUAUAUCUUGGGCUGCACACGUGCUACAAUGGCCUGUACAAAGAGCUGCGAUACCGCGAGGUGGAGCGAAUCUCAAAAAACAGGUCUAAGUCCAGAUUGAAGGCUGAAACUCGCCUUCAUGAAGUCGGAGUCGCUAGUAAUCGUGGAUCAGCACGCCACGGUGAAUACGUUCCCGGGCCUUGUACACACCGCCCGUCACACCACGAAAAUCGGAUACACCCGAAGCCAGUGGGCUAACCCGCAAGGGGGGCAGCUGUCGUAGGUGGAGUCGGUGAUUGGGGUGAAGUCGUAACAAGGUA
RNAcentral lists this ribosomal RNA (1520 nucleotides) under metagenome. RNAcentral's name for it is "bacterial SSU rRNA". It matches the Rfam family "Bacterial small subunit ribosomal RNA". The record is from RNAcentral.